RNAcentral lists this ribosomal RNA (253 nucleotides) under uncultured bacterium. Its description in RNAcentral is "partial 16S ribosomal RNA". It matches the Rfam family "Bacterial small subunit ribosomal RNA", at positions 524 to 776 of the family's 1533-position model. The record is from RNAcentral.
UACAGAGGUGGCAAGCGUUGUUCGGAAUUACUGGGCGUAAAGGGCGUGUAGGCGGCCUUCUAAGUCAGACGUGAAAUCCCCCGGCUUAACCUGGGAACUGCGUCUGAUACUGGAAGGCUUGAGUAUGGGAGAGGGAUGUAGAAUUCCAGGUGUAGCGGUGAAAUGCGUAGAUAUCUGGAGGAAUACCGGUGGCGAAGGCGGCAUCCUGGACCAUUACUGACGCUGAGGCGCGAAAGCUAGGGGAGCAAGCGGG